RNAcentral lists this ribosomal RNA (460 nucleotides) under uncultured bacterium. RNAcentral describes it as "partial 16S ribosomal RNA". It matches the Rfam family "Bacterial small subunit ribosomal RNA", at positions 338 to 795 of the family's 1533-position model. The record is from RNAcentral.
CCUACGGGAGGCAGCAGUGAGGAAUAUUGGUCAAUGGGCGGAAGCCUGAACCAGCCAAGUAGCGUGCAGGAUGACGGCCCUACGGGUUGUAAACUGCUUUUAUACGGGGAUAACGCGCCUUACGUGUAGGGCUUUGCAUGUACCGUAUGAAUAAGGACCGGCUAAUUCCGUGCCAGCAGCCGCGGUAAUACGGAAGGUCCGGGCGUUAUCCGGAUUUAUUGGGGUUAAAGGGAACGUAGGCCGACUGGCAAGCGUGCUGUGAAAUGUCCGGGCUCAACCCGGGCCUUGCAGCGCGAACUGGCAGGCUUGAGUCCGCGGAAGGCAGGCAGAAUUCGUGGUGUAGCGGUGAAAUGCUUAGAUAUGACGAAGAACCCCGAUUGCGAAGGCAGCUUGCUGCAGCGGAACUGACGCUGAUGCUCGAAAGCGCGGGUAUCGAACAGGAUUAGAUACCCCUGUAGUC